Molecule: ribosomal RNA, 1211 nt
Filed under: metagenome
Description: bacterial SSU rRNA
Rfam family: Bacterial small subunit ribosomal RNA
Source: RNAcentral
AGAGUUUGAUCCUGGCUCAGAUGAACGCUGGCGGCGUGCUUAACACAUGCAAGUCGCACGAGAACGCUUCAGCUUGCUGAAGUAAGUAAAGUGGUGUACGGGUGAGUAACGCGUGGGUAAUCUACCCUCAAAUUGGGGAUAACCCGCCGAAAGGCGGGUUAAUAUUGAAUGACAUCUUGAAGACUUAUGUUUUCAGGAUUAAAGGUGGCUUUUAUAUGUAAGCUAUUGUUUGGGGAUGAGCCCGCGUACCAUUAGCUUGUUGGUAGGGUAAUGGUUUACCAAGGCUAUGAUGGUUAGCUGGUCUGAGAGGAUGAUCAGCCACACUGGAACUGAUAUAUGGUCCAGACUCCUACGGGAGGCAGCAGUGAGGAAUUUUGCGCAAUGGGGGAAACCCUGACGCAGCAACGCCGCGUGAGUGAUGAAGGCUUUCGGGUCGUAAAGCUCUGUCAAGUGGGAAGAACUCAUAUGGUGUUAAUAUCUCCAUAUGCUGACGGUACCACUGAAGGAAGCACCGGCUAACUCCGUGCCAGCAGUUGUGGUAAUACGGGGGGUGCGAGCGUUAUUCGGAAUUACUGGGCGUAAAGAGCGCGUAGGCGGUCUUUUAAGUCAGGUGUGAAAGUCCGGGGUUUAAUUUUGGAAGUGCACUUGAAACUAAGAGACUUGAGUAUGGGAGAGGGAAGUGGAAUUCCUGGUGUAGCGGUGAAAUGUGUAGAUAUCAGGAGGAAUAUUAGUGGUGAAGGUGACUUCCUGGACUAAUACUGACGCUGAGGCGCGAAGGCGUGGGGAGCAAACAGGAUUAGAUAUCCUGGUAGUCCACGCAGUAAACGGUGAACACUAGGUGUAGCGGGUAUUGAUUUCUGCUGUGCCGCAGCAAAUGUAUUAAGUGUUCCGCCUGGGGAGUACGGCCGCAAGGUUAAAACUCAAAGGAAUUGACGGGGGCCCGCACAAGCGGUGGAGCAUGUGGUUUAAUUCGAUGCAAUGUGAAGAACCUUACCUAGGUUUGACAUCCCGGGAAUCCUGUGGAAACACGGGAGUGCCCUUCGGGGAACUCGGUGACAGGUGCUGCAUGGCUGUCGUCAGCUCGUGUCGUGAGAUGUUGGGUUAAGUUUUGUAAUGAGUGUAACCUUUUUUUUAGUUACCAUUAUUUAGUUGGGGAUUUUAAAGACACUGCCCCGGUUAAUGGGGAGGAAGGUGGGGAUGACGUCAAGUCC